CCUACGGGUGACAGCAGUCGAGAAUCAUUCACAAUGGGGGAAACCCUGAUGGUGCGACGCCGCGUGGGGGAAUGAAGGUCUUCGGAUUGUAAACCCCUGUCAUGUGGGAGCAAAUUAAAAAGAUAGUACCACAAGAGGAAGAGACGGCUAACUCUGUGCCAGCAGCCGCGGUAAUACAGAGGUCUCAAGCGUUGUUCGGAAUCACUGGGCGUAAAGCGUGCGUAGGCUGUUUCGUAAGUCGUGUGUGAAAGGCGCGGGCUCAACCCGCGGACGGCACAUGAUACUGCGAGACUAGAGUAGUGGAGGGGGAACCGGAAUUCUCGGUGUAGCAGUGAAAUGCGUAGAUAUCGAGAGGAACACUCGUGGCGAAGGCGGGUUCCUGGACAUUAACUGACGCUGAGGCACGAAGGCCAGGGGAGCGAAAGGGAUUAGAUACCCCUGUAGUC
RNAcentral lists this ribosomal RNA (446 nucleotides) under uncultured bacterium. RNAcentral describes it as "partial 16S ribosomal RNA". It matches the Rfam family "Bacterial small subunit ribosomal RNA", at positions 338 to 795 of the family's 1533-position model. The record is from RNAcentral.